This 495-nucleotide ribosomal RNA is filed under the name Tetrapisispora arboricola. RNAcentral's name for it is "partial small subunit ribosomal RNA". It matches the Rfam family "Bacterial small subunit ribosomal RNA", at positions 393 to 940 of the family's 1533-position model. The record is from RNAcentral. Lineage: Eukaryota; Fungi; Ascomycota; Saccharomycetes; Saccharomycetales; Saccharomycetaceae.
UAAUUAACUUAAAUAAUGAUAUAAGUUAUAAAAUAUUAUAUUUUAUAUAUAUAUUAUAAUAUAUAUUUAAUAUAUAUUAUAUUAUAUAUAAUUAAUAAUCCUUACCAAUAUUUGUGCCAGCAGCAGCGGUAAUACAAAGAGGGUAAACGUUAAUCAUAAUGGUUUAAAGAAUUCGUAGAAUGAUAUAUAUAUAUAUAUUAGAAUUAAUAAAUUUAAUUUAAGAAUUAUAAUAGUAAAGAUGAAAUAAUAAUAAUAAUUAUAAGACUGAUAUAUAUGAAAAUAUAAAUUAAAUAUUAAUUGACAUUGAGGAAUGAAAGCUAAAGUAGCAAUACGGAUUCGAUACCCGAGUAGUUUUAGCCGUAAACUAUGAAUACCUAUCGGUUCCUUAAUUAUAGGGUCCGAUAAAAUGAAAAUUAAAGUAUUCCACCUGAAGAGUAUAAUCUCAAGAUUGAAACUCAAGACAUUAGACGGUUACAGACUUAAGCAGUGGAGCAU